AACCUGCUAGACAGAACGACCCGCGAACCGGUGAAAAUUCAUUCGGGAGACGGCCCCCCCCGGGGGCUUUCUCCCGGAGUCCUCAGCCAAGGCGGCGUUUGAAAUUCGCUUUCUUGGCUAAGGGCGAAACAAACCAACCCGGGCGCGAGUUGCGCCAAGGAAAACAAAGAAGGAGGAUGAGCUCCCCUCGUCCCGGAAACGGUGCGUUGGGGGCCACAUCGUCGUUAUCUAGUACAAAACGACUCUCGGCAACGGAUAUCUCGGCUCUCGCAUCGAUGAAGAACGUAGCGAAAUGCGAUACUUGGUGUGAAUUGCAGAAUCCCGCGAACCAUCGAGUUUUUGAACGCAAGUUGCGCCCAAAGCCGUCAGGCUGAGGGCACGCCUGCCUGGGUGUCACGAAAAGUCGCAAACAUCCCUCCCUAGCGAGGCGAGGGAUGGCGGAUGUUGGCCUCCCGUGCGCCCUCACGCGCGCGGUUGGCCCAAAAAUAAGGUCCCCGCGAGGCGGCCACGGCACAAGGUGGAUGGUUGAAAGCACGAGCUCUCCUCGAACACCGCCGUGGGCUAGCCUCUUUUAUUUUCACGGGGAGCCAGAGACCCCGACGCGGAGCGUCAUCACGAAGCGACCCCAGGUCAGGCGGGGACACCCGCUGAGUUUAAG
RNAcentral lists this ribosomal RNA (658 nucleotides) under Pristimera andongensis. Its description in RNAcentral is "eukaryotic LSU rRNA". The stretch from base 241 to 396 matches the Rfam family "5.8S ribosomal RNA". The record is from RNAcentral. Lineage: Eukaryota; Viridiplantae; Streptophyta; Magnoliopsida; Celastrales; Celastraceae.